UAAUCUGGCACCUUCGGUGUCCGAGUUGUAAUCUCUAGAAGUGUUUUCCGCGUUGGACCGCACACAAGUCUGUUGGAAUACAGCGGCAUAGUGGUGAAACCCCCGUAUAUGGUGCGGACGCCCAGCGCUUUGUGAUACACUUUCAAUGAGUCGAGUUGUUUGGGAAUGCAGCUCAAAUUGGGUGGUAAAUUCCAUCUAAAGCUAAAUAUUGGCGAGAGACCGAUAGCGAACAAGUACCGUGAGGGAAAGAUGAAAAGCACUUUGGAAAGAGAGUUAACAGUACGUGAAAUUGUUGGAAGGGAAACGCUUGAAGUCAGACUUGCUUGCCGGAGCUUGCUUCGGUUUGCAGGCCAGCAUCAGUUUUCCGGGGUGGAUAAUGACGGUUUGAAGGUAGCAGUCUCGGCUGUGUUAUAGCUUUCCGUUGGAUACGCCCUGGGGGACUGAGGAACGCAGCGUGCUUUUUGCGAAAGACUCGU
RNAcentral lists this ribosomal RNA (476 nucleotides) under Rhodotorula diobovata. RNAcentral's name for it is "eukaryotic LSU rRNA". It matches the Rfam family "Eukaryotic large subunit ribosomal RNA", at positions 118 to 598 of the family's 3401-position model. Lineage: Eukaryota; Fungi; Basidiomycota; Microbotryomycetes; Sporidiobolales; Sporidiobolaceae. The record is from RNAcentral.